CCUUUUCCGUAUCUACACAUGCAAGUCGACGGCAGCACAGGAGAGCUUGCUCUCUGGGUGGCGAGUGGCGGACGGGUGAGGAAUACAUCGGAAUCUACCUUUUCGUGGGGGAUAACGUAGGGAAACUUACGCUAAUACCGCAUACGACCUUCGGGUGAAAGCAGGGGACCUUCGGGCCUUGCGCGGAUAGAUGAGCCGAUGUCGGAUUAGCUAGUUGGCGGGGUAAAGGCCCACCAAGGCGACGAUCCGUAGCUGGUCUGAGAGGAUGAUCAGCCACACUGGAACUGAGACACGGUCCAGACUCCUACGGGAGGCAGCAGUGGGGAAUAUUGGACAAUGGGCGCAAGCCUGAUCCAGCCAUACCGCGUGGGUGAAGAAGGCCUUCGGGUUGUAAAGCCCUUUUGUUGGGAAAGAAAAGCAAUCGAUUAAUACUCGGUUGUUCUGACGGUACCCAAAGAAUAAGCACCGGCUAACUUCGUGCCAGCAGCCGCGGUAAUACGAAGGGUGCAAGCGUUACUCGGAAUUACUGGGCGUAAAGCGUGCGUAGGUGGUUGUUUAAGUCUGUUGUGAAAGCCCUGGGCUCAACCUGGGAAUUGCAGUGGAUACUGGGCAACUAGAGUGUGGUAGAGGGUAGUGGAAUUCCCGGUGUAGCAGUGAAAUGCGUAGAGAUCGGGAGGAACAUCCAUGGCGAAGGCAGCUACCUGGGACCAAACACUGACACUGAGGCACGAAAAGCGUGGGGAGCAAACCAGGAUUAGAUACCCUGGGUAGUCCCACGCCCUAAACGAUGCGAACUGGAUGUGGGGUGCAAUUUGGUCACUCAGUAUCGAAGCUUAAACG
This 840-nucleotide ribosomal RNA is filed under the name Stenotrophomonas sp. BW5. RNAcentral's name for it is "bacterial SSU rRNA". It matches the Rfam family "Bacterial small subunit ribosomal RNA", at positions 34 to 859 of the family's 1533-position model. The record is from RNAcentral. Lineage: Bacteria; Pseudomonadati; Pseudomonadota; Gammaproteobacteria; Lysobacterales; Lysobacteraceae.